GAAAUAAAAAGAAGACAGCUAGCAGAAGCUGCUGAAAAGAGGCAGAUGGAGGCUUCCUCUCGAGGUAUUAAGAAUGCUUACUCUGUAGAGCAGAAGAAAAAGAAACAGGAAGAAAUAGAAAAAAGAAUGGCAGCUUCACGUCCUGGAGGAGAAGGAGGGCUGAGAUGGCAGGUGGGAUAACACGUGGCUUCUGAAGAGAAGAGGACUUCUAUUGCCCAUAACUUGCCAGUUUCUGCAGCCAAGUGGCACCUGCUCAUAAUGUGGCUUUUGCUGUUUCCAUAUGAAGACUCAGCAGUACUUUGCCAUUGUGGGACAACGUGUGGAAACAUUCACUAAAAAUCUUAAGAACUAACUCUGAACACUAAGCAUCGUCUCGCAGAUCGCUUCAAAAACUCCUGGCAGGCAAAGCCCAGUGCUGGUAAGCUGGAAUGAAAGGCUGACUCUCCAUGACUGUGAUGGCAUUGUCUUUGCUGCAGUAACAGCAAGUGAGACCAUCUGCUGCUGCAUAUUGUUAAAAUACACUGCUUGUGCCAGAGACAGAGUGUUCAGAGCAGAACAUCCUGAAGUUUGGGGAGACACAGGGUGGGUGGCACCACAGUGGGCCCUGAGGAUCACAGGUGACUUCAAAUGUGGAUUUGGCAGUGACAGACUGAAUUCCUGGGACACAGCUCAUCAGGCACGAGUGGUGCCAGCAGUUUCUGGGCAAACCUGUCCAGCCCAUAAACAUUUGCUUGAUCCCACCUGUUUGUUCCACCUUAUUUUAGAUAACAUACCACAGGCUAAGAAAGCAGGAGAAAGAGCAAAGAAGCAGCACUGUACCUGUUAG
RNAcentral lists this long non-coding RNA (826 nucleotides) under Manacus vitellinus (golden-collared manakin). Its description in RNAcentral is "lncRNA (ENSMVIG00005019056.1)". Lineage: Eukaryota; Metazoa; Chordata; Aves; Passeriformes; Pipridae. The record is from RNAcentral.